GUAGUUCUUCUUUCUUACUUUGGAUAGCUGUGAAAUCAUGAUGUACUUGUGGCCGAUGUAAAGAAGAACCAACAUGAAUGUUUUCAUAGUUUAACCUGAUGUAUAAACUACAGAAGUUUCAAGUGCUGGAAAUGAGGGUGCGCCUGAAGGACAUCUGACGACAUAACAGGAAGUGAGCAAGGAAGGCUUGAUAGGUUUUGUGGCAGUCUGCUGCAGCAUAUUGUACAUUUGAGCACCAGACUAUGUAAAAAUAUAUAUGUGCUUUGCCGAAAUGGAAGGCAAACAAAUAGAGAUGUGGAGGUUUGUGUAUCAUUAAAUUGUAAUUAGGGGUUGGCUUGUGUGUUGCUAAUAUUGAGUGAGAUGCCCUAGUAUACUUCCUACUCUUUCCUGAAAUUAAAUUAUUUUUUCAUGUUUACUAUUAUUACAUUCUUUUUUCA
Long non-coding RNA from Triticum dicoccoides, 437 nucleotides. RefSeq lists it as uncharacterized. NCBI's taxonomy places the organism in Eukaryota, Viridiplantae, Streptophyta, Magnoliopsida, Poales, Poaceae. The transcript is spliced from 2 exons. The record is from RefSeq and is a predicted model, not a curated record.